Equus caballus (horse) is the source of this 10464-nucleotide long non-coding RNA. RefSeq lists it as uncharacterized. NCBI's taxonomy places the organism in Eukaryota, Metazoa, Chordata, Mammalia, Perissodactyla, Equidae. The record is from RefSeq and is a predicted model, not a curated record.
UGCCUGCUCGGGCCGUCGGCCAGCUGGGGCAGACCCCGCUGCCCACUUUAUUCCUUUAUUGGAAACUAAUGCGUGCUUUUGUUAAGAAAAUAAGCUUAGGUAAAACUAGGUGAAAGAUGGCCAUUAAUCCUACUACACUGAGAUAACUGCUAUUAAUUUUGGUUGUCCUUUCAGACUUUUCUAUGCACAGAAACAAACAUGUAUAGUGACAGGAAAGGGGUCCUGCUAUUAUACUGUUUGUUUUUAAGUUAAUAGACUUUAGUUUUUAGGUCGGCUUUAGCUUUACAGAAAAUCGAGGAGAUAGUGCAGAGUUCCUGUAUACCCCUGUCCCCACCCUCUUUGUUCUCCCUAUUAGCAUUUUGAGUAAGUGUGGUACAUUUGUUAUAAUUAAUGAACCAAUAUUGAUACAUUAUUAUUAACUAAAGUCCAUAGUUCAAUCAAGGUUCACUCUGUGCCGUAAAGUUCAAAGUUUUGAUAAGCGGAGGACCUCACGCGUCCACCGUGACAGUAGCACACAGAACAGUUUCCCUACCCUGCACUCCUGUGCUCCAUGUGUUCAUCCUGCCCCCUCCGCCCCAGUGCAACCACUGAUGUCUUUACUGUCUCUCUAGUUUUGCCUUUUCCAGAAUGUUGUAUGGUUGCGGGUCAUACAGUAUGAGCAUUUUUAGCCUGGCUUCUUUCACUAAACAAUAUCCUUUUAAGGUUCCUCCUUUUACGGUCCCUCCAUGUUUUCUCAUGGAUUAAAAGCUCAUUUCUUUUUAUCGCUGAAUAAUAUUCUAUCGAAUGAACCUACCACAGUUUAUCCAUUCACCUUUGGAAGGAUGUCUUGGUUACCUCCAGUUUUUGUCAGUUAGGAACAAGCUGCUAUAAACAUUCAUGUACGGGUUUAUUAUACUGUUUUCUAGCUUUUUUUUUUUUUUUUUUUUUUGGCAGGGAAAGAUUCACCAAUCUUUCUCUUUUUUGUUUUUUUCUCCCCAAAGCCACAGUGCAUGGUUGUAUAUCCUAGCUGUAAGUCCUUCUAGUACUUCUGUGUGAGCUCCCACCACAGCAUGGCUACUGUCAGACCCUCAGGAACCGAACUGGGAGGCAGAAGUGGUGAGAGCACCCCACCUCAACCACUACGCCGUCAGGGCUGGCUCUAGCUCACUUUUUUCAAUUAUGUUAUGAAUGGUUUUCUGUGUUAUAAAUAUAGAUCUUUAUCAUCUUUUUAAUGGCUACAUAAGAUUCUAUCACAGUUUAUUUAACCAGCCCCUUCUGUUAACAUAUUGAUUGUUGUCUCUGAUUCUAACGUCACAAACCUGCCGCUACUAGUUGGUCAACGCUUGAUGGUAUCUUGUAGUUAACGCCUGGCUGCCUGAAUCCUGUGUUUAAUUCCCAGCCACCUCACUUACUUACUGGGUAACCCUGGGCAAAGGUUUUAAUUCCCUAUGACUUGGUUCCUCAUCUGUGAAAUGGAAAUAAUAAUUAUACUUAAUAUGAGGAUUAAAUGAGCUGAUGCAUGUAAAGUGUUUAGAACAGUUUAGAACCUGGCACAUAUAAACCUAAAAUAAAAUUUCCUCUUAUAAUUUAUUAUCCAUUGAGCACCUCCUGUGUGUCCUGAGCCAGGCAGGCAUUGUGGAAGUUAUCAGAGACUAAGUCAUACGUGUAAUUGUCCCCUUGAGGAGCUGGGUUCAGCUCCCGCUGGGGGGUGGGGCGGGUAACACAAAACACAGUAGCACUACCCUUCUGUGUGGUUUUCUCUGGGCCAGGCACGGGGCACCAUUCUGGAGCCUGGGAGUGGCAGGGCUGGAAUUUGAACAGAGGUCUGGUUCUAACCUCUUCACUACCCUGCCUCUUGGUACACGAAUUUCCCAUAUAAUACGAAACAAGAUGGGUCCUAAUGAAGUGGAGAUGAAGAAGUGUGAGCAUUCAGGGGACUCAGUGAUGGCUUCCAGCUGGGCAUACCAGGGAAGGCUUUAGUUAAAAUCCAUUCACUGAACACGGAAAGAUAUCUACACCAGGCACAGCCCUAAACACUAGAUGAAUAAAGAGGCAGAUAAAACCAUGGGCAGCAUAUAAUCUGGUGGGAGAUAAGGGAAACAAAGUCAAGAAGCAAAUGUCAGGUGACAGCUUGUAACAUGAGCUACAAAGGAAAUCCAGGCUGCCAUGGGAUACCAGAGCGGGUAGUGGGGGCUGCCACCUUAAAAUGGUCAGGGAGGCGCCUUGGACAAGGCGACUUUGAAACACUGAGGACUGUGGGACGAGGGACCAGCCAUUCGAGGAGUUGUGUAGAAUAUUCUAGCAGCAAGAACGAACAAAGGCCCGGAGGUAGAAGGGGGUUUUUGGUGAGUUCUACAUGCUGUCAGAAGCCAGUGUGGGAGGAGCUCGGGGAGCAAGGGGAAAAUGACUAAAGCUGAAGUUGCAGAGUACACACACACUAGUUUCUAAGAACUUUCCGACUUAACUGAAAGUGGCUGGGCAGCCUAGGAGGCAAGAACAAGAAUGUCCAUUUCGUGUGCACCUAUUACAGCCCAGGCUUCAUACGGUUCACACAGUAUUGUAUUUGACCUUUCCAAUGACUUACUUUACAGAUGUGGAAACUGAGGCUUGAGUUUUACUCCAAGUGAAAAGGGAAGCCAUUGAAGGGUUUUAAGCAAGGAAGUAGCGACGCUGGGUUGAUAUUGUCACAAGAUCCAGCUGGCAGCUCUGUGGGGCAUGGAGCGGAGGUUUGCAUAGGGGGAUCUGGGGGACCGGUUAAGAGACUGCUGCGCUCAGCUAGGUAAGAGAGAGAAUGGAGAUCUGACUAGAAUGAUGGCGGUGGAUGGAGAGAGAGUUGGAUCGACUUGAGACUGAGAGGCCAUGUUGAUGGAUUGGAUUAGUAAGGAGAGGAAGGAAGCUGAUACAUGCUAUUUUAAAUGCCUCAAACUGUUCAGGAAAGUAUAAACAAGAAACCAUUUAAAAUCCUCUGAAACCCAACUUCCCAGAGAUAACGACUGUUAAUUUUUAUUGGAACGUCCUUCCAGACGUCUUUCUGUGUCCAAAUAGAAUAAAUAAAUGGGCUCCUUCAGUUGUAAAAUACAAAGACCCGCUCAAGCUAACUUACGUAAUGUGGAUUUUGUUAUGAGGAAUCAGGGGUUAUCUCCUAGAAUUGCAAGCCAGUCAGCUUUCACGGAGACCUGGAAGCAGGGCAGGAAGCCAAGAACUCAGGUAACCCUCUCUUCUCUCCAAGGCUCAUCGUCACUUCUCUCUGUGUCCCUCUGCCUGCCUGCUCUGGUCUUCUCUCUCUUUUGGCUGACUGAUCAUGGUGUGCAUUCACCUCCCCCAUGGCUGCCCUCCCUGGCUUUGUAUCACUGUCCAAUUCAAGUAUCUGACAAGGAUGAGCUGACGUCACUUGGCCACAGAUUGCAUUUUCUGGGAGAGGAAAUGGGAUCUGGUGCCAUAAUGAUGAGAUGGUCCAUCUUUUAUAACAUGGAGAAAGGCCAUGGGCACGGAUGCAGGUUGGCUGCUGCAUUUGGUGAUGGGAAGAUGAGGUAGUUCUCCUGAUUGCUUCUUUUAUCUCAAGGAAAUGAGUGAGGUUGGCAGCUGAGAAGCUGAGAGUGGAGUGCGGAUGGGGAUGGAAGGUUUCCUAAAAGAUGAGAAGAUAUGAAAUUAUCUCUGAAAGUGGGGAUGUGAAUUUAUGAGGAUUAGUGCAAAUGGCCCACUUGAGUUUUGUGGUCAUAAAUUGAAAGAGAGAUUAGUAGGCACAAUUGUGUUUUCCUCUAGCUACAUCUAGCUGCUCAGGUGGGGGUGUGAGGUGCAGGAAAUUGGCUUUUUCCAUUUUUCAGACAAUAUGAUGAGAAAGAGAGGAACAAGGAGUGGUUAUAGUGAUGGACUGUGGAAUCUAGAGGGAUAAUGAAGAAAGUGAGGAGAUGAGUAAAGUGAUGGGCAGUGAAAACAUUGGGGAGUCUCUCUGGGGUUGAAGAAUUGAGUCAAGAUGUAAGAGUAAGAGAGCUGGAAAGAUUAGAAGGGAUGGCCAAAGAGUGGAUGCUGGAAACUGACUUUAAAGGCAGUGACUGUCGUUGAUGACAGUCUAGGGCAUAACCACGGCAGUGGGAGGAUGAGGUUGUGUGGAGGACAAGGUAGUUGGAGGUGAAGAAAUCAGGAACCAGCUUCUACCCUGGCCCCCAGGGAUUCUCGCCGGGUGGUGCUCACACCUCUUGGGCAGUCCCUCCCACGUUCAAUAGGGCGGACCUUUGUAACUAAUGACUGUGUGUGACUUCCAAGGCUAGGUUAUAAAAAACACUGUGGCUUCUGCCUUGCUCUCUCUUGGGGGAAGCCAGCCACCACAUCCUAAGGACACUCAAGGGGCCCAUAUGGUGAGGACCAACCAGCAGUAACUUGCCAGGCCGGUUUGUGAGCCACCUUGGAAGCCAGACCUCCUGCCACAGUCAGGCCUUGAGAUGACUGCAGCCGCCCCAGCAGACGAAAUGCGGCAUCACAGAGACUCAGAGCCAGAACGACUGUUCUAGGGUGCUCCUGAGUUCCUGACCCAUAGAGGCAAUGUCAGAGAAUAAACGCUUCUCGUUUUAAGUUUGGGGAUAAUUUGUUACACAACAAUAGAUAAGUAAUACAGAACCUGAAAAGCUAGGAUGUUGUGUAGGUCUUUGAUGGAUGUUGGCUGAAGUCACAAAAAAUGGCAAGGUACUGGGCCUGGCCCGGUGGCUAAGUGGUUAGUUCCACGUGCUCUGCUUUGGCAGCCUGGCUUCACGGGUUUGGAUCCCCGGUGCAGACCUACUCCAUUCACCAGCUAUACUGUAGAGGUGUGCCACAUACAAAAAAGGAGGGGGAUUGGCACAAUAUUAGCUCAGGGCAAAUCCUCCUCAGCAAACAAACAAACAAACAAAAAACCAAGGUACUAAUCGUAGAGAGUGAAGCUGAGAGCCAGGCUUUAAACUCUUCAGGGAGUGAGGCACAGCAGCCAGGAGGCUGGCAGAACCUCCAACAAGAAGAAUAGCGGCUGGUAUAGCCUAAAGACACAAAGUUGAAGGGAAGAGAGGUUUUGUAGAGAAAAGGAAGGAUAAUUAGUCUAAAAAAGGCAAAGAAGAGAAGGAGGACCCCUCCCCCACCUCUAGGUCUGUGAUACCCGGAGGCUAAGAGGAAAACCAGCUGCCACAUGAGAGGACUGCAAGAAAAGCAAUGUCCCCAAGCAGAACCAGAUUUCGGUGAGAGCAAGGAGGAGAAAUGAAUGUUGGGAGUGUUGAGUGUCUAGGGCGUAUUACCGAGGGUGCACUGUGACUUCCAGGGUCACGGUGGGAGAAUGGGGGAAGUAGGAAGAGUAGGAAAUUGGAUUAGAUUAAGGGAUGUGCGUAAGAGCCUGGGUGAGGGUAGAUGACCAUCAAUGGAUGUUGAAUUUUAUUACUUUUUUAAUUGCAAACCUAUCAUAUGAUUAUAUGAAUCUUCUCCUUUAUUCUGUUUAUAUUGUAAGUGUUAAUGAUUAAUUUCAAAUUUAUACCAACCCUGCAUUCUUGCAAUAGCACAAACUUUCAGGAUGUAUUAUCUUUUGUGGAUAUAGUUGAAUUCACUUUGCUGUUAAAAUUUUGCUUAGGAUAUUUUGCGUCUGUGUUCAUUAAUGAGAUUGACUUAUACUUUUCCUUGCUUUUAAUAUCCUUGUUAGGUUUUAGUAACAAGGUUAUGCUGGCCUCAUAAUUUGAAAUUGGAUAUGUUUCUUCUUUUCUAGUGUCUGGAAAAGUCUGUGUAAUCACGAUAUUUUUCUUCCUUAAAUGUUUAUUAGAAUUUGCCAGUGAAGCCAUUUGGGACUGGAGUUUUCUUUGUUGGAAGUUUUAAAUUGUAAAUUCAAUUUCUUUAAUAGAUAUAAUACUAUUCAGAUUUUCUAUUCCUUCUUUUGUUGGUUUUUGGAAGUUGUAGUUUUCUAGGAACUUUGUCAACUCAAAUUUUCAAUUUAUUGGAAGACAUCAGGAUGUUCAUAAUCUUAUCUUUAUAAUGUCUAUAGGAUCUGGAGCAAUGUACUUUUUUCAAUCCUGAUAUUGAUAAUUCACGCCUUCUCUCAUUUCUUCAUCAAUUUUCCUAGGGGCUUUUAUAUUUUAUUAAUGUUCUCACAGAACAGUCUUUGACUUAGAUCAUCCUUUGUAUCGUAAGUUUGUUUUUUGUUGCCUUCAUUUCUGCUGUUAUCUUUAUGGAUUCCUUUAUACUUUUUAAAGUUUAAUUUGUUAAAACAUAGAGUUACCAUGUUACCCAGGAUGUCACUUCUAAAUAUACCUAAGAGAAAUAGAAACAUAUGCCCACACAAAAACUUGUGCGUGAACAUUCACAGCAGCAUUGUUCAUAAUAGCCAACAAGUGGAAACAACCCAAGUGCCACCAACCGAUAAGUAGAAAAACAGAAUAUGGUAUAUCCAUACUCUGUUAGUCGACUGGGGCUCCCAUAACGGGAUACUGCAGACUGGGUGGCUUAAACAUCGGAGAUUUAUUGUCUCACAAUUCUGGAGGCUGGAAGUCCAAGAUCAGGGUUUGGCAGGUUGGAUUUCUCCUGAGACCUCUCACCUUGGCUUGCAGACAGACCCUUUCUCGCUGUGUCCCCACAUGGCCAUCUCUGUUCAUGUGCAUCUCUGGUGUCUCAUCCUCUUCUUAUAAGGACACCAGUUCUGUUGGAUUAGGGCCCCACCCUCAGGACCUCGUUUACCCUUAUCUGUCUCUUUAAGGGCCCCGUCUUCAAAUACAGUCUCAUUGGGUUUAGCUUCAGCAUGUGAAUGGCGCAGGGUGUGGGGGACACAAUUCCGUCCAUAACAAUAUGAUUGCUGUAUGGAAAUUCUUUGUGUGAAUAUACCAUGUUUUACUUAUCUGUACUACUGUUGAUGGACACUGGGCUAGUUUCGAAUUUGAGGUUAUUGUGAAUAGUAUUUCUAUGAACAUGCUAUGUCUUUUGGGUGAACAUUAAACAUUUCUGUUGGAUAUAUGCCUAAGAAUUCCUGGGUCCAUUAAAUAUCCUUAUUUUUGGCUUUGAAAUGAACAGACAAUUUUCCCAUAGAUCAGUUUACACUCCUACCAGCAGUUCCUGAGAGUUCUGUGUAUUGUACAUCUUUGUCAACACUUGGUAUUAUCUGACUCUUUUUUUUUUUUUCAUUUUUUAAGUCAAUUCUGGAGGUAGUCUGGGAUGUCUUGUGAUUUUAAUUUGUAUUUCCUUCAUGAAUAAUGAAGUUGAGUCCUUUUCUGUGUUUAUUGGCCAUGGGGAUAUAAUUUAUUGUGAAGUACUUGUUAAUUUUCUGUCAUUGUUAUUGAUUUAUAAAGGUUUUAAGUAUAUUCUGGCCACGUGAACACAUUCUCUGUUAUUGAAAAUAUCUUCUUACACACUGUGGUUUGCCAUCUUACUCUUUUUCAACUAGCAAAGACUUUUAUUCUUAAUAUAGUCCAAUUUAUCAUUUUUGUCCCCAUAUAGUUAGCCAAUUAUUUUGGUCCUGUUUUAAAAAUCUUUGCAUACUACAAAGUUGUGAAGAUGUUCUCUUAUGUUUCCUCCUAAAAGCUCUUUUGUUUUUCCAUUCAUAUUUAGACCUGCAGGGGAAUUAUUUUUCAUGUGUGAUGUCACAUGGGGACCAAAAUUCUUUCUUCCAUAUGGACAUCCAGUUAGCGCAGCACCAUAUAGUCAAAGAUCUUCCUUGCCCCAAUGUACUGCAGUGUUAACUUUGCUGGAAAUCAGGUGACCAAUUCUUUGAUGAAGUUCUGAGGGAAUACAAAGAGUUACCCAGCAUGUCCACGGCAGGUAGACUCUUGCCCUAAGACUGGCUUUGGAACCAUCUGAGGAGCUGCUGGAAACUGUUGCAACAUUGGUGGUGCCCUGUGAACAGAUCUCUGGUGAUCAACAAAGAGCUUCUUGGCUCACGGAUGGAAGUUCCAAGAUGAGCGGACAGCAUCUUGUUUGGAAGGCUGCCACUCUGACUGAAAAAGGCAAAAACAAAUCAAGUAUAUUGGGAAAUGGAGUUAAAAGCCUCCUAUCCUUAUCCCGCCCUGUGUCCUCCAAACGUUAGGCAUAUUCAUGUUGGACUCUUGCUGUCUAUGUUAUAUAAAUGCUACACCAAAUGGAGGUGCUCAGACAGGUUUGAUCAUUCUGUUAUAAGGGAACCAUGACCAAAGACCAGGGGGUGGCCUUUGUUUAUAAGAAAGAACUUGUCUGGUCUUUGUCCUGAGUUCCUGGAACAGAGCUUCUAGAGCUUGAAAUUUCCUGGGUGAUCAGAGUGUCUCGUAAUUCAUGAGCCCCUUGUAUUACACCUGAGUUUAUGCUCAUGAGGUGACUCAUGGUGAGCCCUUAGAUAGCUUCAGGACAGGUCCUGGUUUGAGCCAUGUGAUAUCAGCAUGACCUCCCAACCUCCAGGGAGAAGAUGGGGCCUGGAGAUUGAGUUCCAUCACAUGGCCAGCGAUUCAAUCAAGCUUGCUUAUGUAAUGGAACCCUAAGAAAAACUGGGCUACUGAAGCUCUGUGAAACCUCCUGGCUGGUGAACACACUGACGUGCCAGGAGAGUAAUAUGCCCUGAUUCCACGGGGAGAGGGCACAGAAGCUCUGUGUUUGGGAACUUCCCAAGCACAGCCCUCUAUGUCUUUUCAUUUGGCUGGUCCUUUAUAAUAAAACUACAAUCAUAAAUAUAGUGCUUUCCUGAGCUCUGUGAGUCAUUAUAAUGACAUAUUGAACCUAGGGUGUCAUGGGAACCCUUGAAUCUGUACCAGUUGGUCAAAAGUGCAGGUGGCCUGGGGACCCCCAAGGUGAGGACAGUCUUGCUGGGGACUGACCAUGCCCUUAAACCUGUGGAGUUUGACGCUAACUCCAGGAGGUUAGUAUCAGGAUUGGAUUUUAGUAAGCUAGUUGGUAUCAGGACAGAUUCCACUUUUUACCCCUAACCGCAAAAGGCUGUCAGAUACUCUGCUCAGCUUCUCAAGCACUCAACUGCUUCUUCUGGACUCAACUGAUGCCCACUGGGGAAAGGCAACACUAAAUGCCGAGCUUGCCUCUCUAGCUUUCCUUCUGAAUUUUGGCCCUAUAAUUUCUCGUUGCCCUGUUAGCUCUUCAGUCCUUCAGUCAGAUGUUUUCAUAUUCUGUCUGGAUUUUCUAUUUGUCGUCAGUGGAAAGUUUGCUCUGCAUUAUCCAGUCUACCAUUAAUGGAAACAUAAAUCCCUCUUCUCAUAGAUUUUUUUUUUUCAUUGUGGUUAAAUACACAUUGACAUAAAAUAUAUCAUUUGAACCGUUUUAAAGUGUACAAUUCAGUGACAUUUAGUAUAUUUUCAAUGUUCUACAACCGUCACUACUAUCUAGUUCCAGAAUAUUUUCGUCACCUCAAAAGGAAACCCCACAUCCAUUAAAAAGUCAUUCCCCAUUCCAUCUCCCCCAGCCCCUGGCAGCCACUAAUCUGCUUUCUGUCUCCAUGGAUUUGCCUAUUUUGGGUAUUUCAGAGAAAUGAAAUCAUGCAGUAUGUGGCCUUUUGUGUCUGGCUUCUUUCACUUAGUAUGUUUUCAAGGUCAUAGAUUUUUUUUAUGUGGUGUUUUCUUUGUUUUUUAAAUAUUCUUCAGUUACGUUUUGUUUUCCUUUUUGACUCAGGAGGCAUUUAGGAGACUGUUUUCUAAUUUUUGUUCUAUUUGUAUUAUUCAUUGUUAGUUUUGGUGCACCAUAGUCCGAGAAUAUAACUGAUUCUAUUUCCAUUUUUUUUGUUAAUAAUUUUCUUUUUGGCCUAUUGUACUAUCAAAUCUUGUAAAUAUCUCAUGGGGGCUUGAAAAUAAGAUAUAGUCUCUAUAUUCAGAAUAGACACAUAUAUUUAUUCUAUGUAUUUACCUGUCUAGCCAGCUGGUUAGCUAACUAUCAUCAAUCUUAUUAAAUAUAUUAUUCAAAAUCUCAGAAUCAUAACUUAUUUUUUGUAUAUCUGAUUUGUCAAGGUCUGAGAGAGAUGAGUUAAAGUGACUUAUUACAGUUUUAUUUCUGUAUUUAUUCCAGCAUUGUAUUCUGUAAAUUAAUCCUUAAAUUUUUAUAUUUUCACUUUCUUUAUUUCAAUGCUGUUAUUUAUUGUAAUGUUUAUUAGCCUGAAUUCAGCCUGUUAUUAUUACAGAACACUUGCCCACUUUUUGUUUGUAUUUACAUGCGAUAAAUAUGUUGGUUCCCAGAUUAAUUUCAGCCUUUCUGGGUUCUUUGGUUUCAGGUAUAUUUCUUGUUGGUAACAUAUGACUGGCUUUCAUUUUCCUUUGAAGAGUGUGUUUGCGUUCGUUGUGUUGAACAGGUUGAGUCCGCUUCUGUUCUACUUUGUAUUCUCUGCUUUAUGCUGCUGUAGGGUCUGGUUUUUUUGUUGCUUUCUGGUAAUCUGGAAGGAAUUCAGACCAUUUUUAGUUCUACUGGUGGUUACCUUUGUAAUUUUAAAUAAUAGGUUUAACCAACAUUUCUUAAUUCAUCACCUUCAGAAAAGAAAGAAUAUCACUCACUCCCUCCUAAGAAAAAUAAAGAUAUUGAUGAUUUAAACAA